GCAGGUCAGCGAUGAAGCUGGUAUCACAGGUUAACUGGAGGGAUGUGCCAAUGGAUUGGCCAGAAUGGCUUUGGAUACGAAAUCAGGAUGCUUCUUACUACAAUUGCUACAAGACAGAAUGAUGAAUAUUACAAAAAUGUCCACAAGAAAACAAAUUCUUUUUACAGGAGGUUUGAAUAAGGCUGACCUUCUACCUCAGACUUCUCCUUUGCCUUCACAGUCCCAAUGUAAUGGCAGUAAAGGGGAGACAAUGAGGUGACAGGCAAAAGCUGGGACAAGAUGCCUACAAACAGAGGUGGAAGAAAAGAAAGAGAAAUCAGAGCAAGGAAACUGAGGCCAGGAAGAAGAGAUCGUGAAUGAAGAGGUUCAGCCAUAAGCAGU
Cuculus canorus (common cuckoo) is the source of this 381-nucleotide long non-coding RNA. RefSeq lists it as uncharacterized. Lineage: Eukaryota; Metazoa; Chordata; Aves; Cuculiformes; Cuculidae. The record is from RefSeq and is a predicted model, not a curated record. The transcript is spliced from 3 exons.